AGAGUUUGAUCAUGGCUCAGGACGAACGCUGGCGGCGUGCUUAACACAUGCAAGUCGAACGGAAAGGCCCUGCUUUUGUGGGGUGCUCGAGUGGCGAACGGGUGAGUAACACGUGAGUAACCUGCCCUUGACUUUGGGAUAACUUCAGGAAACUGGGGCUAAUACCGGAUAGGAGCUCCUGCUGCAUGGUGGGGGUUGGAAAGUUUCGGCGGUUGGGGAUGGACUCGCGGCUUAUCAGCUUGUUGGUGGGGUAGUGGCUUACCAAGGCUUUGCCGGGUAGCCGGCCUGAGAGGGUGACCGGCCCCAUUGGGACCGAGAUACGGCCCAGACUCUUACGGGAGGCUGCAAGGGCGUCUUUUUCCGGGAUCCAUCUCUCUCCCGGCCUCCCGAUCCUCCUUCUCGUCGUUGUAUACAAUGCAGAGAUUCUAGUGGCCAUUGAUUACCGAGAUUCAAA
RNAcentral lists this ribosomal RNA (454 nucleotides) under uncultured bacterium. Its description in RNAcentral is "bacterial SSU rRNA". It matches the Rfam family "Bacterial small subunit ribosomal RNA", at positions 8 to 388 of the family's 1533-position model. The record is from RNAcentral.